Non-coding RNA from Diceros bicornis minor, 1271 nucleotides. Lineage: Eukaryota; Metazoa; Chordata; Mammalia; Perissodactyla; Rhinocerotidae. The record is from the annotation of a RefSeq genome assembly.
UUUUUUUUUUCUUUCAAAAGAAGGGAGGAACUGAGUGAACCGCAUGAGGUGAUUCUAAUUGGUUGGGACAUCUGUUGAAAUCGUGUUUCUGUAGAGAAAGAAGAAACUACCGUCUUUGGAGAUCCCUGGCCAGCUUUCAAGGCACCUAAAUCUGAGUCUUAUGUGAACUGGACAGAAAAAAAAAUGAAGAAGCUACUAGCAGCGAUUCUGUGGCUUCAACUAGACCGGUUCAAUGGAGAAGUGAGAGUGGAGCAAAGCCCUCCGUCCCUGAGCACUCAGGAGGGAGAAGACUGCACUCUCUACUGCAGUUACUCAGGCACGACUUCAGACAGACUGCACUGGUACAGACAGGAUGUGGGGAAAAGCCUGGAAUCCCUGUUUUUAUUGGUGUCAAACGGAAUAGUGAAGCAGGAGGGACGAUUCACAGCCUCUCUUGACACCAAAGCCCGUCGCAGCACCCUGCACAUCGCGGCCACCCAGCGGGGCCUCUCUGCCACCUACUUCUGUGCCGUGGACACACAGCGCUCCCCCGACGCUUUCAGUCUGUACCCAAACCUGCAGCCUGCGCUGCCACACACUCCUGCUGCGGGGAGCACGGUAUGAGGCUUAGUUCACUGUCUCUGCAUCUCUUCCUGCAAGGAAAAUUCUGAAAUGAAUGAGAAAAGGUGAUGUUUUUAACUUUUAUUUUCUUUACUGUGGAAACUUUCCUUAAAGGAAAAUGGAUUCAGGGGAAAAAACUCUUAAACAUGUCUUUCCUGAGAAUACAAGCUCUCAUCCUUUACUGCCUCCCAGUCAAAAUCCAUUAGUCUUUCAUUACGGAAUGAUUUUCCGUUUAGUGCAACUGUCACAAAUAAUUCCUAUGAAAUGUGGAACCAUUAUUUGUUUUAUAUGUGACUGUAACAUAUAGCAUUUACCAAUGGAGGAAAAAAAAGAAUAAGUGCUUUAUAAAAGAACAUUUUAUGAGAGGCUCCUUACCUAGUUUUUCCUCCUAAAAUAUUGACUGCAGUAGUCUUUAAUAUCCAUGAGAUCUGGAUAUCAAUUUAUCACAAUGUAUAGAGAGAUUCUUAUUGUAGGACUUAAAAAAAAAAAAAGUCUAAUUAAAAGACCUGAAUACACCCUAUUGAAUGAAAACAUUAUGCGUAUACCUGGUCUGCAAACCCAGGAUACAAAUGCUCUCACGUCUCCAUUAUUUUUCCAAGUAGUUGUUAGAGCCACUACCUGCCAAGUAACUAGGAAGUUCAUUAUCUGCUUCUUGAGCCCUUCCCCACGCC